Molecule: long non-coding RNA, 614 nt
Filed under: Capra hircus (goat)
Lineage: Eukaryota; Metazoa; Chordata; Mammalia; Artiodactyla; Bovidae
Description: lncRNA (ENSCHIG00000005513.1)
Source: RNAcentral
AGAAUUUCUUCUGGUAUUAUAUAUCAUAGUUAAUGAAAGAAAGUGAAAGUCAUAGUUGCUCAGUCAUGUCCAACUCUUUGUGACCUCAUGGACUGUAGCCCGCCAGGCUCCUCUGUCCAUGGAAUUCUUCAGGCAAGAAUACUGGAUUGGGUAACCAUUUCCUUCUUCAGGGGAUCUUCCCCAUCCAGGUAUCAAACCUGGGUCUCCUGAAUUGCAGGCACAUUCUUUACUGUCUGAGCCACCAGGGAUAGUUAAUACUGAGAAACAAUUUGAAUACUCAACAAGAGGGCAUUUUAUUUUUCCAUCCUGCGUGUUCUACGGUAAUCUCAGUCUCUUGUGAUGCAGGCAGAAACUGGAACAGGCUGUGGUAGUUUUCUGAUUAAGAACAGCAGCAAGCAAUCACCUCCAAGAACUAAGGAAGAUAAAGAGGAACCAAAGGAUGGAGGGGAGGUCAAUCACUCACUUUGUGUCUGCACAUUUAUUGUUAUGCCAUAUCUACCUUUUAUUUUGAGCAUUUGUUUCCUAUUAUAAUCCAAGGGAAAAUAAAUCAUAGGAGGCAAGGCAUCUUUCUUGUAAAACUUCACAAUCAGACCAGUCCUUUGUGGUCUGACCUA